RNAcentral lists this ribosomal RNA (252 nucleotides) under uncultured bacterium. RNAcentral's name for it is "partial 16S ribosomal RNA". It matches the Rfam family "Bacterial small subunit ribosomal RNA", at positions 524 to 776 of the family's 1533-position model. The record is from RNAcentral.
UACGUAGGGGGCAAGCGUUGUCCGGAUUCAUUGGCGUAAAGAGCGUGUAGGCGGCCAGGUAGGUCGGUUGUGAAAACUGGAGGCUCAACCUUCAGAGGUCGACCGAAACCAUCUGGCUAGAGUCCGGAGAGGAGAGUGGAAUUCCGUGGUGUAGCGGUGAAAUGCGCAGAUAUCAGGAAGAACACCCGUGGCGAAGGCGGCGUCUCUGGGACGGUACUGACGCUGAGACGCGAAAGCGUGGGAGCGAACAGG